Molecule: ribosomal RNA, 702 nt
Filed under: Acinetobacter pittii
Lineage: Bacteria; Pseudomonadati; Pseudomonadota; Gammaproteobacteria; Moraxellales; Moraxellaceae
Description: partial 23S ribosomal RNA
Rfam family: Bacterial large subunit ribosomal RNA
Source: RNAcentral
AGUCAAGUAAUUAAGUGCAUGUGGUGGAUGCCUUGGCAGUCAGAGGCGAUGAAAGACGUGAUAGCCUGCGAAAAGCUCCGGGGAGGCGGCAAAUAUCCUUUGAUCCGGAGAUUUCUGAAUGGGGGAACCCACCUACUUUAAGGUAGGUAUUGCAACAUGAAUACAUAGUGUUGCAAGGCGAACGAGGGGAAGUGAAACAUCUCAGUACCCUUAGGAAAAGAAAUCAAUUGAGAUUCCCUUAGUAGCGGCGAGCGAACGGGGAUCAGCCCAUUAAGUUAUGUGUGUUUUAGUGGAACGCUCUGGGAAGUGCGAACGUAGAGGGUGAUAUUCCCGUACACGAAAGGGCACACAUAAUGAUGACGAGUAGGGCGAGGCACGUGAAACCUUGUCUGAAUAUGGGGGGACCAUCCUCCAAGGCUAAAUACUCCUGACUGACCGAUAGUGAACCAGUACCGUGAGGGAAAGGCGAAAAGAACCCCUGUGAGGGGAGUGAAAUAGAUCCUGAAACCGCAUGCAUACAAGCAGUGGGAGCACCUUCGUGGUGUGACUGCGUACCUUUUGUAUAAUGGGUCAGCGACUUAUAUUCAGUAGCAAGGUUAACCGUAUAGGGGAGCCGUAGAGAAAUCGAGUCUUAAUAGGGCGUUUAGUUGCUGGGUAUAGACCCGAAACCAGGCGAUCUAUCCAUGAGCAGGUUGAAGGUUG